GGAAGAGGGGCCAGGGGAUGAGAUGUGGCAGAAAAUACCCAUACUUUGAGCUGACGCCUAAACCGAGGCUCUGAUACUUGAAACUAACUUGAUUCAUUCAAUGGAUUCCACUCCUUAAAGGCCAGUGAAUCGUCUUGAAGACGGAUGCGACAGGAAGAAGUGGCAUUUAAAAGUCUUGCUGGCUUCGCAAACAACAACGCUCCUUCCCCAUACAGAUUAGAGAAAACCUGAUACAAAACUCUAUGAACUUAGCACCACUGAAAGAUUUACGCUACAAUACACAGCUUGAAUUGGGCGAAGGCCUCGUUCUGUCGCUUAACGAAAGGGGCGAUGAUUUAGCACCAGUAGCUUUU
This 353-nucleotide long non-coding RNA is filed under the name Amborella trichopoda. Its description in RNAcentral is "long non-coding RNA (ATRI_LNC002106)". Lineage: Eukaryota; Viridiplantae; Streptophyta; Magnoliopsida; Amborellales; Amborellaceae. The record is from RNAcentral.